Molecule: ribosomal RNA, 460 nt
Filed under: uncultured bacterium
Lineage: Bacteria
Description: partial 16S ribosomal RNA
Rfam family: Bacterial small subunit ribosomal RNA
Source: RNAcentral
CCUACGGGUGACAGCAGUGAGGAAUAUUGGUCAAUGGCCGGAAGGCUGAACCAGCCAUGCCGCGUGAAGGUCAGUGCCCUAUGGGCGUUAAACUUCUUUUGUGCGGGAGCAAUAAUGGUCACGUGUGGCCAGACGAGAGUACCGUACGAAUAAGCAUCGGCUAACUCCGUGCCAGCAGCCGCGGUAAUACGGGGGAUGCAAGCGUUAUCCGGAUUUAUUGGGUUUAAAGGGUGCGUAGGCUGUGAGGUAAGUCAGCGGUGAAAUGCCCCCGCUCAACGGGGUGAAGUGCCAUUGAUACUGCCUGGCUGGAAUGCGGAUGCCGUGGGAGGAAUGUGUGGUGUAGCGGUGAAAUGCAUAGAUAUCACACAGAACACCGAUUGCGAAGGCAUCUCACGAAUCCGCGAUUGACGCUGAUGCACGAAAGCGUGGGUAUCAAACAGGAUUAGAUACCCUAGUAGUC